GCAUAUCAAUAAGCGGAGGAAAAGAAACCAACAGGGAUUGCCUUAGUAACGGCGAGUGAAGCGGCAAAAGCUCAAAUUUGAAAUCUAACACUUUCAGUGUUCGAGUUGUAAUUUGAAGAAAGUUUCUCUGAGUAGUCCUUUAUCUAUGUUCCUUGGAACAGGACGUCAUAGAGGGUGAGAACCCCGUAUGAUUUUGGAUCCUACUCUCUGUGAGAUUCUUUCGAAGAGUCGAGUUGUUUGGGAAUGCAGCUCUAAGUGGGUGGUAAAUUCCAUCUAAAGCUAAAUAUUGGCGAGAGACCGAUAGCGAACAAGUACAGUGAUGGAAAGAUGAAAAGAACUCUGAAGAGAGAGUGAAAAAGUACGUGAAAUUGCUGAAAGGGAAGGGCUUGAGGUCAGACUUGGUGUUUAAUGAUUAUCUUCUCUUCUUGAGGAGUGCACUCGUUUUUCACCGGGCCAAUAUCAGUUUUUGGGGUAGAGCACCUCUUGGAAUGUGGCUUCCUUCGGGGAGUGUUAUAGCCUUGAGACGAUCUAUUUCCAGAGACUGAGGACUGCGCAUUUUUGCAAGGAUAUUGGCGUAAUGACCUUAAGCCGCCCGUCUUGAAACACGGACCAAGGAGUCUAACGUCUAUGCGAGUGUUUGGGUGUAAAACCCGUACGCGUAAUGAAAGUGAACGUAGGUUGGGGCCCUUUAAGGGUGCACAAUCGACCGAUCCUGAUGUUUUCAGAUGGAUUUGAGUAAGAGCAUAGCUGUUGGGACCCGAAAGAUGGUGAACUAUGCCUGAAUAGGGUGAAGCCAGAGGAAACUCUGGUGGAAGCUCGUAGCGGUUCUGACGUGAAAAUCGAUCGUCGAAUUUGGGUAUAGGGGCGAAAGACUAAUCGAACCAUCUAGUAGCUGGUUCCUGCCGA
Molecule: ribosomal RNA, 906 nt
Filed under: Saccharomycopsis capsularis
Lineage: Eukaryota; Fungi; Ascomycota; Saccharomycetes; Ascoideales; Saccharomycopsidaceae
Description: LSU rRNA
Rfam family: Eukaryotic large subunit ribosomal RNA
Source: RNAcentral